UACUGGGCGUAAAGCGCAUGCAGGUGGUUUGUUAAGUCAGAUGUGAAAGCCCGGGGCUCAACCUCGGAAUUGCAUUUGAAACUGGCAGACUAGAGUACUGUAGAGGGGGGUAGAAUUUCAGGUGUAGCGGUGAAAUGCGUAGAGAUCUGAAGGAAUACCGGUGGCGAAGGCGGCCCCCUGGACAGAUACUGACACUCAGAUGCGAAAGCGUGGGGAGCAAACAGGAUUAGA
Molecule: ribosomal RNA, 231 nt
Filed under: Vibrio parahaemolyticus
Lineage: Bacteria; Pseudomonadati; Pseudomonadota; Gammaproteobacteria; Vibrionales; Vibrionaceae
Description: partial 16S ribosomal RNA
Rfam family: Bacterial small subunit ribosomal RNA
Source: RNAcentral